Long non-coding RNA from Ctenopharyngodon idella (grass carp), 1620 nucleotides. RefSeq lists it as uncharacterized. The record is from RefSeq and is a predicted model, not a curated record. The transcript is spliced from 4 exons. Lineage: Eukaryota; Metazoa; Chordata; Actinopteri; Cypriniformes; Xenocyprididae.
UUCAUUUUAUUGUUGUUUAUUUAAAUUAUUUGUAUUAUAUUUAUUAUAAAUAAAUAAUAGUCUAUUUUAUAAAUAGUCUAUUUUAUAAUUUUUUAUUCAUAUUUAUUUUUCAUUAUAUUUUAAACAAAGACAAACAAACAAACAAACAAACAAACAAGUACAUAAUAUUUAAAAUAAAAUUCUUAACAUGGUUGUGACAUUUUCAUGCCAGUUAAGCACAUUUUAUCCCAAAUUUUUAUUGCUGUAAUCAAGGGCUCAAGUUAUCAAAGCUCUGCUAAUUAAUUCUUUAAUUUGAUUUCAGAGUAAAAUACAAGCCAGACAGGUUUCAUGAGAUUCACCUUUGGAUUUAUCUUAUAUGCAAAAAACCCUGAAGGGUUAGUGUUCAAACACAUUCAACUUGGGACUUGAGGAAGACAACCACCGUCACCCAAAACAGGGACCCUUGACAGAUAAACAGAGUUAUUUGAUGAAAUAAAGGCUCCUCCUCUAUAUUAUAAACACUGUUCAGUCUGCAGAAGUGUUAACGUGCAUCGACGUCUUUUGAACCAGCAGACGUGAUGCUUUUCCUGCGUACAGAAACCCUGUUUUACUGACACAGGAAGCUCUAGCUAACACUACACACUUAAAACUGCUCUCAAGGGUGAGACGAUCUCACCACCCACGACGAGAGCGAGCAUCAGGAGAGAUAGAGAGAAGGUGAAAGAGAAAGACUGAGACGGGAAAGAAUCGCAAAAAGAGAGACAAAACGUUAUUCUGCAGUAAACUGAUUCUGUGGUAAUGUGGGCCUUGCCACUUCAUGCUCACUACUGCGCAGACUCGGGCUCCAAGAUGUCAGCGCCAUAUUUGGACAUUGGCGGCUUCACUUAUCUACAAUGGAAGAGAAUGAAGGGCUUGCUAAGUAAGGAUGGUCUGCAGUGUGAGAGCGUUUUGGGCCAGUUGGGAGAAAAGUCACUCGUCCUUUUAGGCAGAGGCCUACUUUCAGACAUUGCUCUAGCAGAGGCAGGUGGAGGGGCUACGGCUCUCGGGGACAGAUACAUUUCACCGUCUUGACGGUGGACGGGCGGCAUCGUGACACGUUUCUACCCACGAAUAUGGCUGAUGAGCUCAUGGAUUCCAGUAGUCUCAUCAUUCGCCAGCUCUUGUGUUUCCUCCCUCGGUAAGCAUCUCUCGUCCUCUUUCUGUUUCUCGCCGUAUCUCUCACUCCCACAUGCUUUCCCACACAGUCAAAUUGAUUAAAGCUUUUCUCCUGAGGGCGACUGCAGUGUGUGUGUGUGUGUCGUUGUGUGUGUCUGCAAGAAGAUCUGAAAACAGGAAUAGAUGGAAUGGGGGAAAAAAAAAUGAAGCCGGCGGGAAAACUGGAGGAAAGGGACCUGCAGAAGUAGACGCACAGAGAGCCGCCCACGCCUGCCGCCUUAACGAGACACUGCCUCGAACAUUUAAAAAACAAAUUUAUCACUUGCAUGAUGUGGGCAAACUAUUACACAUAUAUUAUACUCGAAUGUGUACAAAGUACAUACGUGAGGAUAUAAAACGAGACUGAAAGAGAAAAACAGAAAUGUGGAUGGAGAGGAAAUGGUCGUGGGAAGGGUCUGGACUGGAUGACAGAGAAAAUGGAGACGA